CCUACGGGAGGCAGCAGUGAGGAAUAUUGGACAAUGGGCGCAAGCCUGAUCCAGCCAUGCCGCGUGCAGGAUGACGGUCCUAUGGAUUGUAAACUGCUUUUAUACAGGAAGAAACACCUCUACGAGUAGAGACUUGACGGUACUGUAAGAAUAAGGAUCGGCUAACUCCGUGCCAGCAGCCGCGGUAAUACGGAGGAUCCAAGCGUUAUCCGGAAUCAUUGGGUUUAAAGGGUCCGUAGGCGGUUUAGUAAGUCAGUGGUGAAAGCCCAUCGCUCAACGGUGGAACGGCCAUUGAUACUGCUAGACUUGAAUUAUUAGGAAGUAACUAGAAUAUGUAGUGUAGCGGUGAAAUGCUUAGAGAUUACAUGGAAUACCAAUUGCGAAGGCAGGUUACUACUAAUUGAUUGACGCUGAUGGACGAAAGCGUGGGUAGCGAACAGGAUUAGAUACCCUGGUAGUCCACGCCGUAAACGAUGGAUACUAGCUGUUGGGAGCAAUCUCAGUGGCUAAGCGAAAGUGAUAAGUAUCCCACCUGGGGAGUACGAACGCAAGUUUGAAACUUAAAUGAAUUGACCGGNUGAGAGAGCGAGGACGACACGAGGGAGGAGG
Molecule: ribosomal RNA, 609 nt
Filed under: uncultured bacterium
Lineage: Bacteria
Description: bacterial SSU rRNA
Rfam family: Bacterial small subunit ribosomal RNA
Source: RNAcentral